RNAcentral lists this long non-coding RNA (423 nucleotides) under Musa acuminata (dwarf banana). Its description in RNAcentral is "long non-coding RNA (MACU_LNC005648)". Lineage: Eukaryota; Viridiplantae; Streptophyta; Magnoliopsida; Zingiberales; Musaceae. The record is from RNAcentral.
UGUAAGUUGCGAUAACAGAAUUCUCGUCGAAAAAUUUCAGCAACUUACGAUGAAAAUUUGCAGCAAUAUAGGAACGAAUUUUUUUUUUUUUUGGAUUUUCGAAUAGGGAUAACUAAAUUGCAGCAGUAGUAAGGUAGGAAACCAGAACCUGUUGCAAUUCACGGGGAGAUCAAAGGAUGAUCUGUGGUGGUGGAGAUGACGGUGGAAUUUGGCGACGAUCUUUUAAGCAAUUGUGGGAAUUGCUUUGGGCGGUUGUGGAGGGUUGAUGGAUGACUGUGGAAGGGCAGCGAGAUGUCAAGAAUGCUGCUCUGAUACCAGGUGUUAGAACCCUUGCAGAUUCUAAACUUGGGGUUGAUCUCUUUAAGGGAUCGGCCUCCUUGGAACUCUAUAGGGGUUCCUCCCUCCAAGUUGCUGCUCAAAGGC